Molecule: ribosomal RNA, 301 nt
Filed under: uncultured bacterium
Lineage: Bacteria
Description: partial 16S ribosomal RNA
Rfam family: Bacterial small subunit ribosomal RNA
Source: RNAcentral
CAGUCGCCGCGGUAAUACGUAGGGUGCGAGCGUUAAUCGGAAUUACUGGGCGUAAAGCGUGCGCAGGCGGUUUUGUAAGACAGGCGUGAAAUCCCCGGGCUCAACCUGGGAAUGGCGCUUGUGACUGCAAAGCUAGAGUGCGGCAGAGGGGGAUGGAAUUCCGCGUGUAGCAGUGAAAUGCAUAGAUAUGCGGAGGAGCACCGAUGGCGAAGGCAAUCCCCUGGGCCUGCACUGACGCUCAUGCACGAAAGCGUGGGGAGCAAACAGGAUUAGAUACCCCUGUAGUCCCUGUCUCUUAUAC